RNAcentral lists this ribosomal RNA (239 nucleotides) under uncultured bacterium. RNAcentral describes it as "partial 16S ribosomal RNA". It matches the Rfam family "Bacterial small subunit ribosomal RNA", at positions 99 to 339 of the family's 1533-position model. The record is from RNAcentral.
CGAACGGGUGAGUAACACGUGAGCAACCUACCCUUGACUCCGGGAUAACAGCUGGAAACAGCUGCUAAUACCGGAUACGACCUCGACCGACAUCUGUUGAGGUGGAAAGUUCUGGCGGUCAAGGAUGGGCUCGCGGCCUAUCAGCUAGUUGGUGAGGUAACGGCUCACCAAGGCUUCGACGGGUAGCCGGCCUGAGAGGGCGACCGGCCACACUGGGACUGAGAUACGGCCCAGACUCC